RNAcentral lists this ribosomal RNA (534 nucleotides) under uncultured bacterium. RNAcentral describes it as "bacterial SSU rRNA". It matches the Rfam family "Bacterial small subunit ribosomal RNA", at positions 774 to 1304 of the family's 1533-position model. The record is from RNAcentral.
AGCCAAUAGAUACCCCGGUAGUCCACGCCCUAAACGAUGUCUACUAGUUGUUGGUGGAGUAAAAUCCAUGAGUAAACGCAGCUAAAUGCGUGAAGUAGACCGCCUGGGGAGUACGGUCGCAAGAUUAAAACUCAAAGGAAUUGGCGGGGGCCCGCACAAGCGGUGGAUUAUGUGGAUUAAUUCGAUGCAACGCGAAAACCUUACCUGGCCUUGACAUGCCACUAACGAAGCAGAGAUGCAUUAGGUGCCCGUAAGGGAAAGUGGACACAGGUGCUGCAUGGCUGUCGUCAGCUCGUGUCGUGAGAUGUUGGGUUAAGUCCCGCAACGAGCGCAACCCUUGCCAUUAAUUGCCAUCAUUUAGUUGGGCACUUUAAUGGGACUGCCGGUGACAAACCGGAGGAAGGUGGGGAUGACGUCAAGUCCUCAUGGCCCUUAUGGCCAGGGCUUCACACGUAAUACAAUGGUCGGUACAGAGAGUUGCCAACCCGCAGGGGGAGCUAAUCUCAGAAAGCCGAUCGUAGUCCGGAUUGUUCU